RNAcentral lists this ribosomal RNA (366 nucleotides) under Acidimicrobiaceae bacterium TMED244. RNAcentral describes it as "bacterial SSU rRNA". It matches the Rfam family "Bacterial small subunit ribosomal RNA", at positions 1 to 361 of the family's 1533-position model. The record is from RNAcentral. Lineage: Bacteria; Bacillati; Actinomycetota; Acidimicrobiia; Acidimicrobiales; Acidimicrobiaceae.
UUGGAGAGUUUGAUCCUGGCUCAGGACGAACGCUGGCGGUGCGCCUUAUGCAUGCAAGUUGAGCGAAGCUUUUCAGUAGUUUACUACAGAAAAUGACUGAGCGGCGAACGGGUGAGUAACGCGUGAGCAAUCUACCUUAGUUACUGGGAUAGCCCGAGGAAACUCGGAUUAAUACCGGAUAUUCUUAUUUUUUCACAUGAAGUUUUAAGGAAAGGUCAGCCGAACUAAGAUGAGCUCGCGUUCUAUCAGCUAGUUGGUGGGGUAAAAGCCUACCAAGGCUACGACGGAUAGCUGGUCUGAGAGGACGAUCAGCCACACUGGGACUGAGACACGGCCCAGACUCCUACGGGAGGCUGCAGCAGGGAA